GAUGAACGCUGGCGGUGUGCCUAAUACAUGCAAGUCGAGCGAACAGACGAGGAGCUUACUCCUCUGACGUUAGCGGCGGACGGGUGAGUAACACGUGGAUAACCUACCUAUAAGACUGGGAUAACUUCGGGAAACCGGAGCUAAUACCGGAUAACAUGUUGAACCGCAUGGUUCAACAGUGAAAGACGGUCUUGCUGUCACUUAUAGAUGGAUCCGCGUCGCAUUAGCUAGUUGGUAAGGUAACGGCUUACCAAGGCAACGAUGGGUAGCCGACCUGAGAGGGAGAGCGGCCAGACGGGAACUGAGACACGGUCCAGACUCCGACGGGAGGCAGCAGUAGGGAAUCUUCCGCAAUGGGCGAAAGCGUGACGGAGCAACGCCGCGUGAGUGAAGAAGGUCUACGGAUCGUAAAACUCUGUUAUUAGGGAAGAAGAAAUGUGUAAGUAACUAGGCACGUCUUGACGGUACCGAAACAGAAAGCCACGGCUAACUACGUG
This 497-nucleotide ribosomal RNA is filed under the name uncultured bacterium. Its description in RNAcentral is "partial 16S ribosomal RNA". It matches the Rfam family "Bacterial small subunit ribosomal RNA", at positions 28 to 507 of the family's 1533-position model. The record is from RNAcentral.